UCGUUCUUGUAUGAGGAGCCCCACUGAAAUGAAUUGCCUCCCAUUUGUAUCUUUCAGACUUCAACUUCCAGCCAUUACAGCAUGGUGUUCUUCUGCUACUUGACUAAGGAGUAGAGCUGGUGAGCCCAAAAUAUUGCCCCAGAGCCCAAACUGAGUAACUUGGUGCCAUGGAAGAAGAUCUUCCUUCCAGACAGAGCUCCUCUUUGGCUGACAGUUCAGCCCCAGGGCUGGAGUACCCUUUGUGAAACUAAUGCCUCCAGCCCAAUACAAACACCCAGCAAGAAGGACUGGAAAAUCAAUGUAGUUGUGAAUCCUCUCACCUCACUCCCAAAGGGAAAUUUUGCAUGAACAGACAAGGAACUCAUGUGGAAUAUGCAUAGAAUCUGCAAAAUGCAGGGAAUGAAUGAUACCUGCCGGGUACCCAGAAUCCUAUCCCUAUCUCCUACCACUUUCCAGAAAGAAGAAUCACAGCUGUUCAUAUUGUGAAUUACAUUCUGUUCUUCAUUCAUGGAGGCUGGAGAAGGAUUUUUGUUCAGUGGUGAACACUGUAGCUAUAUCGAAAAAAAUAAUCAUAUAAAGAUGUAUACCUCCUAUAAGGUGAACAAUGUCUGGAAUGUUGUCAGCCAGCC
This is a long non-coding RNA of Dermochelys coriacea (leatherback sea turtle), 629 nucleotides long. RefSeq lists it as uncharacterized. NCBI's taxonomy places the organism in Eukaryota, Metazoa, Chordata, Testudines, Dermochelyidae. The transcript is spliced from 3 exons. The record is from RefSeq and is a predicted model, not a curated record.